Oncorhynchus keta (chum salmon) is the source of this 678-nucleotide long non-coding RNA. RefSeq lists it as uncharacterized. The transcript has 3 exons. The record is from RefSeq and is a predicted model, not a curated record. Lineage: Eukaryota; Metazoa; Chordata; Actinopteri; Salmoniformes; Salmonidae.
UUAAAACACUUCAGCUGUAGUUGCAAACAAAAUAAAUAUAGGCCUAAAAUAUAAAUUUUUGGGGGGUCUCAUCCGUAGACUCUCCGGCCUGUUUCACAUGAUUCUUGCGUAGGUGGUAAAGGAGGUUAGUGGUGUUUGAGCCUGUUGUCUGGCCCGUCCUGUUUCACAUGAUUCUUGCGUAGGUGGUAAAGGAGGUUAGUGGUGUUUGAGCCUGUUGUCUGGCCCGUCCUGUUUCACAUGAUUCUUGCGUAGGUGGUAAAGGAGGUUAGUGGUGUUUGAGCCUGUUGUCUGGCCCGUCCUGUUUCACAUGAUUCUUGCGUAGGUGGUAAAGGAGGUUAGUGGUGUUUGAGCCUGUUGUCUGGCCCGGCCUGUUUCACAUGAUUCUUGCGUAGGUGGUAAAGGAGGUUAGUGGUGUUUGAGCCUGUUGUCUGGCCCGGCCUGUUUCACAUGAUUCUUGCAUAGGUGGUAAAGGAGGUUAGUGGUGUUUGAGCCUGUUGUCUGGCCCGGCCUGUUUCACAUGAUUCUUGCGUAGGUGGUAAAGGAGGUUAGUGGUGUUUGAGCCUGUUGUCUGGCCCGGCCUGUUUCACAUGAUUCUUGCGUAGGUGGUAAAGGAGGUUAGUGGUGUUUGAGCCUGUUGUCUGGCCCGGCCUGUUUCACAUGAUUCUUGCAUAGGUGGUA